CACGUAGGGGGCAAGCGUUGUCCGGAUUUAUUGGGCGUAAAGAGCUCGUAGGUGGCUGAGUAAGUCGGAUGUUAAAUCCCCAGGCUCAACCUGGGACACCCACCCGAUACUGCUCUGGCUAGAGUCCGGUAGGGGAGCGUGGAAUUCCUGGUGUAGCGGUGAAAUGCGCAGAUAUCAGGAGGAACACCGGUGGCGAAGGCGGGUCUCUGGGCAGUAACUGACGCUGAGGAGCGAAAGCGUGGGGAGCGAACAGG
Molecule: ribosomal RNA, 254 nt
Filed under: uncultured bacterium
Lineage: Bacteria
Description: partial 16S ribosomal RNA
Rfam family: Bacterial small subunit ribosomal RNA
Source: RNAcentral